Molecule: long non-coding RNA, 252 nt
Filed under: Olea europaea (common olive)
Lineage: Eukaryota; Viridiplantae; Streptophyta; Magnoliopsida; Lamiales; Oleaceae
Description: long non-coding RNA (OEUR_LNC006574)
Source: RNAcentral
CUCUUUCCAGAUAAAGGAUCCUAGACAUUUGAUCACAUCUCCACUCGUGAUCCAAAUGUCACACUCUACAUCCCUCGGUACAAACCACCAUGUAUCCUUAGGCAUCUAUACUCCACCUCACCAAAAGACACACAACACACUGCUAAUGCAUCCUAACCCACUAUGCAUGCAAGCAAUUACACCAAGUAAUCCUAAUGUCUCAAAUUCAUGCAAAUGCACAUAUCAAACACAUUGAAAUGUAGCAGAUAAUCA